This 497-nucleotide ribosomal RNA is filed under the name uncultured bacterium. RNAcentral's name for it is "partial 16S ribosomal RNA". It matches the Rfam family "Bacterial small subunit ribosomal RNA", at positions 28 to 507 of the family's 1533-position model. The record is from RNAcentral.
GAUGAACGCUGGCGGCGUGCCUAAUACGUGCAAGUCGAGCGAACAGAUAAGGAGCUUGCUCCUUUGACGUUAGCGGCGGACGGGUGAGUAACACGUGGAUAACCUACCUAUAAGACUGGGAUAACUUCGGGAAACCGGAGCUAAUACCGGAUAACAUAUUGAACCGCAUGGUUCAAUAGAGAAAGGCGGCUUUGCUGUCACUUAUAGAUGGAUCCGCGCCGUAUUAGCUAGUUGGUAAGGUAACGGCUUACCAAGGCAACGAUACGUAGCCGACCUGAGAGGGUGAUCGGCCACACUGGAACUGAGACACGGUCCAGACUCCUACGGGAGGCAGCAGUAGGGAAUCUUCCGCAAUGGGCGAAAGCCUGACGGAGCAACGCCGCGUGAGUGAUGAAGGUCUUCGGAUCGUAAAACUCUGUUAUCAGGGAAGAACAAAUGUGUAAGUAACUGUGCACAUCUUGACGGUACCUGAUCAGAAAGCCACGGCUAACUACGUG